Molecule: ribosomal RNA, 468 nt
Filed under: uncultured bacterium
Lineage: Bacteria
Description: partial 16S ribosomal RNA
Rfam family: Bacterial small subunit ribosomal RNA
Source: RNAcentral
GACGAACGCUGGCGGCGUGCUUAACACAUGCAAGUCGAACGGAAAGGCCCUGCUUUUGUGGGGUGCUCGAGUGGCGAACGGGUGAGUAACACGUGAGUAACCUGCCCUUGACCUUGGGAUAACUUCAGGAAACUGGGGCUAAUCCCGGAUAGGAGCCCCUGCUGCAUGGUGGGGGUUGGAAAGUUUCGGCGGUUGGGGAUGGACUCGCGGCUUAUCAGCUUGUUGGUGGGGUAGUGGCUUACCAAGGCUUUGACGGGUAGCCGGCCUGAGAGGGUGACCGGCCACCUUGGGACUGAGAUACGGACCAGACUCCUACGGGAGGCAGCAGUGGGGAAUAUUGCACAAUGGGCGGAAGCCUGAUGCAGCAACGCCGCGUGCGGGAUGACGGCCUUCGGGUUGUAAACCGCUUUCGCCUGUGACGAAGCGUGAGUGACGGUAAUGGGUAAAGAAGCACCGGCUAACUACGUG